Long non-coding RNA from Saccoglossus kowalevskii, 695 nucleotides. The record is from RefSeq and is a predicted model, not a curated record. Lineage: Eukaryota; Metazoa; Hemichordata; Enteropneusta; Harrimaniidae.
GCGAAUUCUGAAUAUAUGCUUGGAGGUUUCCUGCUUGCGUAGCAAUGGUAGAAGUGGAAUUUGACAUCGUAGACCAAAUUCUACAUUAUGGUCUAUUAAUUGGCGCCGUAUUUCAACUUAUUGCAAUAUUCUCAAUCGUCAUUUUACCGUCUGCCGACGACGAGAAGAUUGAAGAAGACACAAAUGUUAAAUCAGCGGAAACAAAGCCUCUUAGUCCAAGUAAAAGAUCUAAAAAAGAAUCCAAGAAAAGAAGAUGAGUUAAUGAUCUUGUGCUUGUAAAGUGUUUCUGUUAAGACUAGUUGCUUUUUCACCAUGUAGCCGGCAUGCCUUAGCUGAUCCUCAUCAAUAAGUUGUGGAUCCAUCUAUCAAGUGGUUUGCCAGAUACAAUGCAAUAAAUAUAGAAAUCAUGAUUCUUGAUACCACAAGCAGUGUUGUUGUUAUAGGAUAGACUGCCUUACUCAUAACUUCCAUUUGUGGGUCUACAAUUUUAUAUUGAUGUUAUUACCAUAAGAUCCUAGUACUUCCAUUAAUUUCAUAUUUGAAAUAAUUGCUUCAAAAUAUUAGAUGAUACUUAAUACCUGUAUUUUAGACUUAUUUGAUGUGGUGGUAAAGAGGGUUUAUUGUACAUCCAUCAAGAUGUUUACUUUUAUGAUACUGAAGUGAACUCAUUUAUAUAAAAUAUAUUUUAAUAUUCA